UUUCCGGUAGGCGAAGCUAUCGGAGGGAUACGGGUUACUGCCGCGAAGCAGUGGAGACACUGCCAGCCGGUCAGCAGUCCACAUCGAAAAACAAGGUGUGGACUAACGUGACUUCAUCGCCCUUCGAUGCCGAAGCUUGGACGGUGGUG
RNAcentral lists this small RNA (149 nucleotides) under uncultured Victivallis sp. Its description in RNAcentral is "M-box riboswitch (ykoK leader)". It matches the Rfam family "M-box riboswitch aptamer (ykoK leader)", at positions 10 to 160 of the family's 169-position model. Rfam says of the family: M-box riboswitch, also know as ykoK leader is described as a metaloregulatory RNA that sense divalent metals and function as a genetic control element of genes related to divalent metal transport in bacteria. Lineage: Bacteria; Pseudomonadati; Lentisphaerota; Lentisphaeria; Victivallales; Victivallaceae. The record is from RNAcentral.